This 440-nucleotide ribosomal RNA is filed under the name uncultured bacterium. RNAcentral's name for it is "partial 16S ribosomal RNA". It matches the Rfam family "Bacterial small subunit ribosomal RNA", at positions 338 to 795 of the family's 1533-position model. The record is from RNAcentral.
CCUACGGGAGGCAGCAGUGGGGAAUAUUGCACAAUGGGGGAAACCCUGAUGCAGCGACGCCGCGUGAGUGAAGAAGUAAUUCGUUAUGUACAGCUCUAUCAGCAGGGAAGAAAAUGACGGUACCUGAGUCAGCAGCCCCGGCUAACUACUGGCCAGCAGCCGCGGUAAUACGUCGGGGGCAAGCGUUAUCCGGAUUUACUGGGUGUAAAGGGAGCGUAGACGGCAGUUCAAGUCUGGAGUGAAAGGCGGGGGCUCAACCCCCGGACUGCUCUGGAAACUGGACGGCUGGAGUGCAGGAGAGGUAAGGGGAAUUCCUAGUGUAGCGGUGAAAUGCGUAGAGAUUAGGAAGAACACCAGUGGCGAAGGCGGCCUACUGGACUGUAACUGACGUUGAGGUUCGAAAGCGUGGGGAGCAAACAGGAUUAGAUACCCCGGUAGUC